RNAcentral lists this long non-coding RNA (817 nucleotides) under Homo sapiens (human). Its description in RNAcentral is "HSALNT0112507". The record is from RNAcentral. Lineage: Eukaryota; Metazoa; Chordata; Mammalia; Primates; Hominidae.
CGCAAGCACCGCACGCAGCCCCGGUUCCCGCCUGGGCCUCUCCCUCCACAACCCCCGCAAGCUGAGGGAGCCGGCCCCGGCCUUGGCCUGCCCAGAAAGGGGCUCCCACAGUGCAGCGGCAAGCUGAAGGGCUCGUCAAGUGCCGCCAAAGUGGGAGCCCAGGCAGAGGAGGUGCCGAGAGCGAGUGAGGGGUGUGAGGACUGCCAGCACGCUGUCACCUCUCACUUGGAUCCUGCAUAUGUACUUGGUUCAGCAGUCACACCUAAAGAUCUUGUAUAGUCUGAAAUUAUUAACGGUCAACUGGGUUUGAAGCUUCUAAAACCUACUUCAUUCCUUGGAUUAUGGCUUCCCUCUAUCUUCAAAGUAAGAGAAGAAAAUAAGUGCAACAUGCCAGAAAUCCAGUAAAGCAGUUCAAGUAUCAGAAGAGCGUGAAUCAAAACCAAGUGCAAGAAGAGGCACCUUGACAUUGAACUGAAGGCCACCAGGUACUCACUGGGUCAAUGACUCUUCUCAUUUUUAUUCUCCUGCCAGUGCUUCCAAUCGCUGAACUGAACUGGGAACAAAUCAACAAGGGAAACCAAGAGAUGCAUUCCUUGAAGUUCAGCCUCCAGGCCUCAAGUAAGGCAGAGGAAGAGAAUACAUAGAUCUGUGGAGAAGAGUGGUGAUGGUGGGAGCUGCCAAUAAAGAACUAUCAAAAAAGACGAAGUCUUUGUCGUCCAGGCUAGAGUGCAGCUGUGUGAUCUCAGCUCAUUGUAACCUCCACCUCCUGAUACAAGCAAUUCUUCUGCCUCAGCCUCCUGAGUAGGUGGGACUACAG